This 198-nucleotide ribosomal RNA is filed under the name uncultured bacterium. RNAcentral's name for it is "partial 16S ribosomal RNA". It matches the Rfam family "Bacterial small subunit ribosomal RNA", at positions 118 to 316 of the family's 1533-position model. The record is from RNAcentral.
UGAGCAAUCUGCCCUUCACAUCGGAAUAACCAUUGGAAACGAUGGCUAAUACCGAAUAUGACUUCGGAUCGCAUGAUCUGAAGUGGAAAGCUCCGGCGGUGAAGGAUGAGCUCGCGGCCUAUCAGCUUGUUGGUGAGGUAAUGGCUCACCAAGGCGACGACGGGUAGCCGGCCUGAGAGGGUCGACCGGCCACACCGU